GCCUUUAGCUGGGCCUUUAGGCUCUCAGUCUGUUUUAUAAUCUUAAAUGGAACCCAUGGUGCUGUUGUAGUGAGCUCUAUUCCUGAAUCGGUUACUGUCCCCAUCUAUGAAACAGCAAAUUUUACUUGUGAAGGAAUUGGCAAUGAACUGAAUUGGCUGGUACAAAGUUCUACAGUAACAGAAUUUAUUAAGUAUCAAAGAAAUAUAUCAAUUACUAAUAGCAUAAAUGGAUCUGGUUUGUCAUCAGUGUUUACUAUUGAAGCUUUGCCAAUAAAUGAUGCAAUUCUGAUUGGUUGUCAGAUUGUAUCUUAUCCACCAUUUGAGCAAGCAUUUUCCAAUGUCAGUAGACUAACAAUUAGAGGAGUAUCAUUAGUUGAAGAUGUACAGUGGUCAAAUGACAAUCAGCUGCUAUCUUGGUCUCAACCUUCUUUCUAUUCUGAUGAUAUUUCUGGAGGCAAUGCCAUUACUGUUUAUAACGUAUUUAUCGAUGGUAUCAGUGUUAUCAAUACUACUGAUACUAGUGUGUGGCUAAAUACUACAGAAUUGGAAAUUGACUGUCAAGAUUUUAAUGUCAGCAUUAUUGCAACUGUUGUGCAAUAUGAAUCAUAUG
Molecule: long non-coding RNA, 610 nt
Organism: Amphimedon queenslandica
Lineage: Eukaryota; Metazoa; Porifera; Demospongiae; Haplosclerida; Niphatidae
Exons: 3
Source: RefSeq, a predicted model, not a curated record